GACGAACGCUGGCGGCGUGCCUAAUACAUGCAAGUCGAGCGGACGAAUCGAACGCUUGCUUUUGAUUCGUUAGCGGCGGACGGGUGAGUAACACGUGGGCAACCUGCCCUGUAGACGGGGAUAACACCGAGAAAUCGGUGCUAAUACCGGAUAACACGAAAUGUCGCAUGACGUUUCGUUGAAAGACGGCGCAAGCUGCCGCUACAGGAUGGGCCCGCGGCGCAUUAGCUAGUUGGUGAGGUAACGGCUCACCAAGGCGACGAUACGUAGCCGACCUGAGAGGGUGAUCGGCCACACUGGGACUGAGACACGGCCCAGACUCCUACGGGAGGCAGCAGUAGGGAAUCUUCCGCAAUGGACGAAAGUCUGACGGAGCAACGCCGCGUGAGCGAAGAAGGCCUUCGGGUCGUAAAGCUCUGUUGUUAGGGAAGAACAAGUAACGCAGUAACUGGCGUUACCGUGACGGUACCUAACGAGAAAGCCACGGCUAACUACGUG
This 498-nucleotide ribosomal RNA is filed under the name uncultured bacterium. RNAcentral's name for it is "partial 16S ribosomal RNA". It matches the Rfam family "Bacterial small subunit ribosomal RNA", at positions 28 to 507 of the family's 1533-position model. The record is from RNAcentral.